This 88-nucleotide microRNA precursor is filed under the name Loxodonta africana (African savanna elephant). Its description in RNAcentral is "microRNA 30b (ENSLAFG00000030316.1)". The stretch from base 9 to 82 matches the Rfam family "mir-30 microRNA precursor family". Rfam says of the family: This family consists of the mammalian microRNA (miRNA) precursor mir-30a. Animal miRNAs are transcribed as ~70nt precursors and subsequently processed by the Dicer enzyme to give a ~22nt product. Lineage: Eukaryota; Metazoa; Chordata; Mammalia; Proboscidea; Elephantidae. The record is from RNAcentral.
ACCGAGUUUCAGUUCAUGUAAACAUCCUACACUCAGCUGUGGUGCGUGGAUUGGCUGGGAGGUGGAUGUUUACUUCAGCUGGCUUGGA